This 253-nucleotide ribosomal RNA is filed under the name uncultured bacterium. RNAcentral describes it as "partial 16S ribosomal RNA". It matches the Rfam family "Bacterial small subunit ribosomal RNA", at positions 524 to 776 of the family's 1533-position model. The record is from RNAcentral.
UACAGAGGUCCCGAGCGUUGUUCGGAUUCAUUGGGCGUAAAGGGUGCGUAGGCGGCGGGGCAAGUCUGAUGUGAAAUCCCGGGGCUCAACCCCGGAACUGCAUUGGAUACUGCCUUGCUUGAGUACUGGAGAGGGAACUGGAAUUUACGGUGUAGCAGUGAAAUGCGUAGAUAUCGUAAGGAAGGCCAGUGGCGAAGGCGAGUUCCUGGACAGUUACUGACGCUGAGGCACGAAGGCCAGGGGAGCAAACGGG